This 308-nucleotide ribosomal RNA is filed under the name uncultured bacterium. RNAcentral's name for it is "bacterial SSU rRNA". It matches the Rfam family "Bacterial small subunit ribosomal RNA", at positions 28 to 334 of the family's 1533-position model. The record is from RNAcentral.
GAUGAACGCUGGCGGCGUGCUUAACACAUGCAAGUCGAACGGAAGGGCCUCCAGCUUGCUGGAGGUACUCGAGUGGCGAACGGGUGAGUAACACGUGGGUGAUCUGCCCUGCACCUCGGGAUAAGCCUGGGAAACUGGGUCUAAUACCGGAUAGGACCCUCCUUUAGUGUGGGGGGUGGAAAGUUUUUUCGGUGCAGGAUGAGCCCGCGGCCUAUCAGCUUGUUGGUGGGGUAAUGGCCUACCAAGGCGUCGACGGGUAGCCGGCCUGAGAGGGUGGACGGCCACAUUGGGACUGAGAUACGGCCCAG